This is a long non-coding RNA of Myxocyprinus asiaticus (Chinese sucker), 684 nucleotides long. RefSeq lists it as uncharacterized. The record is from RefSeq and is a predicted model, not a curated record. Lineage: Eukaryota; Metazoa; Chordata; Actinopteri; Cypriniformes; Catostomidae. The transcript is spliced from 3 exons.
AGUACCCAAAGACAAUUCCAUGUUUUCCAGCUCAUCGUGUUCACUCGGACUGGCUCCCAUUUUCAUUCUGUUAGUGAAUUGUUCCAACUCUUUGUUCACAGCUGGACCCAGAAUUAUACUCAGAUCAAAGCAAUCCUGAUUUAAAAGCAGUACAACCACAACCAGUGCCGGAUUUUCAAGACGGUUACUCCUGAAAGACGGUGCAGUUCCCACUUUGUUGGGACAAUUUGGCGCUUCAGGAUCACAACCUAGUCAGAUUUCCUGGCAGUACGUCUGCAUGAAGGUGCUGACGUAAGAGAGAGCCCCAAAGGAGCUCUCCGUGGUGCUGAUAUUUCCGCUGAAGCGUGGUGCUGCUCUUUGCUAUGGGCUUUUCAGAGCCAGCUGGAUAACCAGGCAACAUGCCGGGUCACUUCAACGCCCCUUUCCUCUCUCUUCCUCCCCCCUCCUCUUCACAGGCAUGAGAAAGCAAUACUGAGGCUCUUGGCUCUGUGUUAACCAGAACAAGCAGACACAUAUAGAGCCAAAAGUGUCCAACAGCACGGGGAAAGAGACAUUGCCAGAGAGUUUUGGCAGAUACUCAUUCACCACUUCAGCAAGAUUACGCACUGUUCUGAAAAGGGCGAGAGAUUAAAAAACAAGCACUUGGUGAGAGAGGGAGAGUGGGGAGAAUGAGAAAAAUGAACA